UACGGAGGGUGCGAGCGUUGUCCGGAAUCACUGGGCGUAAAGGGCGCGUAGGCGGCCUGAUAAGUAGGGGGUGAAAUCCUGCGGCUUAACCGCAGGGCUGCCUUCUAAACUGUCAGGCUUGAGCACAGUAGAGGCAGAUGGAAUUCCCGGUGUAGAGGUGAAAUUCGUAGAUAUUCGGAAGAACACCAGUGGCGAAGGCGGCUCACUGGACCGGUAUUGACGCUGAGGUGCGAAAGCGUGGGGAGCAAACAGG
This 253-nucleotide ribosomal RNA is filed under the name uncultured bacterium. RNAcentral describes it as "partial 16S ribosomal RNA". It matches the Rfam family "Bacterial small subunit ribosomal RNA", at positions 524 to 776 of the family's 1533-position model. The record is from RNAcentral.